GGGUGAGUAAUGUAUCGGAACGUGCCCAGUAGCGGGGGAUAACUACGCGAAAGCGUAGCUAAUACCGCAUACGCCCUACGGGGAAAGGGGGGAUCGCAAGACCUCUCACUAUUGGAGCGGCCGAUAUCGGAUUAGCUAGUUGGUGAGGUAACGGCUCACCAAGGCGACGAUCCGUAGCUGGUUUGAGAGGACGACCAGCCACACUGGGACUGAGACACGGCCCAG
Molecule: ribosomal RNA, 225 nt
Filed under: uncultured Burkholderiales bacterium
Lineage: Bacteria; Pseudomonadati; Pseudomonadota; Betaproteobacteria; Burkholderiales
Description: partial 16S ribosomal RNA
Rfam family: Bacterial small subunit ribosomal RNA
Source: RNAcentral